CUAUCGCCGAAGGAGGGGGUUUUUGCGUCUGAUUUAGCUGGUUGGAGGGGUAACGGCCCAACAAGGCGAUGAUCAGUAGCCGGUCUGAGAGGAUGAACGGCCACAUUGGGACUGAGACACGGCCCAGACUCCUACGGGAGGCAGCAGUGGGGAAUCUUCCGCAAUGGACGAAAGUCUGACGGAGCAACGCCGCGUGAGUGAAGAAGGUCUUCGGAUUGUAAAGCUCUGUUAUACGGGACGAAAAAGACGGAUGCCAACAGUAUCCGUCCGUGACGGUACCGUAAGAGAAAGCCACGGCUAACUACGUGCCAGCAGCCGCGGUAAAU
RNAcentral lists this ribosomal RNA (326 nucleotides) under uncultured Megasphaera sp. RNAcentral describes it as "bacterial SSU rRNA". It matches the Rfam family "Bacterial small subunit ribosomal RNA", at positions 209 to 525 of the family's 1533-position model. The record is from RNAcentral. Lineage: Bacteria; Bacillati; Bacillota; Negativicutes; Veillonellales; Veillonellaceae.